This 152-nucleotide ribosomal RNA is filed under the name Thamnophis scaliger. RNAcentral's name for it is "partial 16S ribosomal RNA". The record is from RNAcentral. Lineage: Eukaryota; Metazoa; Chordata; Lepidosauria; Squamata; Natricidae.
UCGGUUUCUAUCUAUGAUAACUUAUACCUAGUACGAAAGGACCGGCAUAAGAAAGCCAAUGCUAUAAGCACGCCUUUACAUAACCACCAAUCAAAUCAAACCACCACCCCAUUUUAAAACCAAGACAAGGUUAAUUAAGGACACAGCCCUUA